This 477-nucleotide ribosomal RNA is filed under the name uncultured soil bacterium. RNAcentral describes it as "bacterial SSU rRNA". It matches the Rfam family "Bacterial small subunit ribosomal RNA", at positions 26 to 523 of the family's 1533-position model. The record is from RNAcentral.
AGGACGAACGCUAGCGGCGUGCUUAAAACAUGCAAGUCGAACGAGACCUUUGGUCUAGUGGCGAACGGCGGAGUAAUACAUAAGCAACCUGCCUCAAAGACCGGGAUAGCCCCUCGAAAGAGGGAUUAAUACCGGAUGUGGCCUUUUGUGGGCAUCCACGAAAGAUUAAAAACGAGUAAUCGGCUUUGAGAGGGGCUUGUGGCCUAUCAGCUUGUUGGUGGGUAAUGGCCUACCAAGGCUUCGACGGGUAGCGGGUCUGAGAGGAUGAUCCGCCCGACUGGGACUGAGACACGGCCCAGACUCCUACGGGAGGCAGCAGUUGGGAAUCUUGCACAAUGGGCGAAAGCCUGAUGCAGCGACGCCGCGUGGAGGACGAAGUCUCGUCGGAUGUAAACUCCUUUUGCCUAGGAACGAUAACGUGACGGUACCUGGUAGAAGUAACGCCCCGGACUUAACUACGUCGCCAGCACGCCGGAC